GAUGAACGCUGGCGGUAUGCCUAACACAUGCAAGUCGUACGAGAGUUUUUAACUCUAGUGGCGGACGGGUGAGUAACACGUGAGAAUUUGCCUUUAGGAGGGGGACAACAAUUGGAAACGAAUGCUAAUACCCCAUAUGCUUUCGAGUGAAAUGGAUUUUAUCCGCCUAGAGAGAAGCUCGCGGCUGAUUAGCUUGUUGGUAAGGUAAGAGCUUACCAAGGCGACGAUCAGUAUCUGGUUUGAGAGGACGAUCAGACACACUGGAACUGAGACACGGUCCAGACUCCUACGGGAGGCAGCAGUGGGGAAUUUUCCGCAAUGGGCGAAAGCCUGACGGAGCAAUACCGCGUGAGGGAAGAAUGCCUAUGGGUUGUAAACCUCUUUUUUCAGGGAGGAAUAAAAUGACGUGUACCUGAAGAAUAAGCAUCGGCUAACUCCGUG
This 441-nucleotide ribosomal RNA is filed under the name uncultured bacterium. RNAcentral describes it as "bacterial SSU rRNA". It matches the Rfam family "Bacterial small subunit ribosomal RNA", at positions 28 to 507 of the family's 1533-position model. The record is from RNAcentral.